GAUGAACGCUAGCGGGAGGCCUAACACAUGCAAGCCGAGCGGUAUUGUUUCUUCGGCAAUGAGAGAGCGGCGUACGGGUGCGUAACACGUGUGCAACCUGCCUUUAUCUGGGGGAUAGCCUUUCGAAAGGAAGAUUAAUACUCCAUAAUAUAUUGAACGGCAUCGUUUAAUAUUGAAAGCUCCGGCGGAUAGAGAUGGGCACGCGCAAGAUUAGCUAGUUGGUGAGGUAACGGCUCACCAAGGCGAUGAUCUUUAGGGGGCCUGAGAGGGUGAUCCCCCACACUGGUACUGAGACACGGACCAGACUCCUACGGGAGGCAGCAGUGAGGAAUAUUGGUCAAUGGGUGCAAGCCUGAACCAGCCAUCCCGCGUAAAGGACGACUGCCCUAUGGGUUGUAAACUUCUUUUGUAUAGGGAUAAACCUACCCUCGAGAGGGUAGCUGAAGGUACUAUACGAAUAAGCACCGGCUAACUCCGUG
Molecule: ribosomal RNA, 479 nt
Filed under: uncultured bacterium
Lineage: Bacteria
Description: partial 16S ribosomal RNA
Rfam family: Bacterial small subunit ribosomal RNA
Source: RNAcentral